AGUGAACGCUGGCGGUAGGCCUAACACAUGCAAGUCGAACGGCAGCACAGUAAGAGCUUGCUCUUACGGGUGGCGAGUGGCGGACGGGUGAGGAAUACAUCGGAAUCUACUUUUUCGUGGGGGAUAACGUAGGGAAACUUACGCUAAUACCGCAUACGACCUACGGGUGAAAGCAGGGGAUCUUCGGACCUUGCGCGAUUGAAUGAGCCGAUGUCGGAUUAGCUAGUUGGCGGGGUAAAGGCCCACCAAGGCGACGAUCCGUAGCUGGUCUGAGAGGAUGAUCAGCCACACUGGAACUGAGACACGGUCCAGACUCCUACGGGAGGCAGCAGUGGGGAAUAUUAGACAAUGGGCGCAAGCCUGAUCCAGCCAUACCGCGUGGGUGAAGAAGGCCUUCGGGUUGUAAAGCCCUUUUGUUGGGAAAGAAGAGCAGCAGGUUAAUACCCCGCUGUUCUGACGGUACCCAAAGAAUAAGCACCGGCUAACUUCGUG
Molecule: ribosomal RNA, 492 nt
Filed under: uncultured bacterium
Lineage: Bacteria
Description: partial 16S ribosomal RNA
Rfam family: Bacterial small subunit ribosomal RNA
Source: RNAcentral